Non-coding RNA from Callithrix jacchus (white-tufted-ear marmoset), 1503 nucleotides. NCBI's taxonomy places the organism in Eukaryota, Metazoa, Chordata, Mammalia, Primates, Cebidae. The record is from RefSeq and is a predicted model, not a curated record.
CUGACCCACGCCCCGCCCACGCCCCUGCCCAUUGGCUUCCCCGAGAGCCUCUGGCAGAAUUUUUCGUGCUAUUGGCUAGGGGACAUGCCACUCACACGCGACUCCACCUCUUCUACCGGCGCUGGAAAGGGGUUUCCUCCCGCUGAGCGGCGGGCGCAGCCACCAAGCGGCCCCGGCGGGAAACUUGGAUCGGCUAGGAAACGUUCCGGCAGGGUUUGGUUUCCAGAGCUGUCCAGGGGCGCCAGGUGCUGAAUCCCGCUUGGAAGGAGGCUUGGGAGUGGACGGGAAGAGAUUUCCCACGCGAGACGGCUCCUCUGUCAUUGUCCCCGAUGCUCAGACCCUUCCCGACGGCUGAAGAAGCAGAUUCAUCCCUUCAGCAAAUCUCUGUGGACGGGCAGGAGGGUAAUUCUGGUUAAAAAAUGAGAAUGUGUACACAAGGGACGCCCCCAGCAACGGUGACGGGAUGAAGAGGCCACGUUGGAGCAGAAUGGACACACCUCGGGAGGCCUGGAGCUACUCGGCCCAGGAGUCGGCAUCUGCUGCGGACGGACAGGACGGACACGGAACCCCGGGAUGGAAACCAAGCCAGCCACGGGCCCCUGGAACCCACGGGGGACUCCAAGUGCAUUUUUUUUUUUUUUUGAGACGAAGUUUUGCUCUUGUUACCCAGGCUGGAGUGCAAUGGCGCGAUCUCGGCUCACCGCAACCUCAGCCUCCUGGGUUCAGGCAAUUCUCCUGCCUCAGCCUCCCGAGUAGCUGGGAUUACAGGCACGCGCCACCGUGCCCAGCUAAUUUUUUGUAUUUUUAGCAGAGACGGGGUUUCACCAUGUUGACCAGGAUGGUCUCGAUCUCUUGACCUCGUGAUCCACCCGCCUCGGCCUCCCAAAGUGCUGGGAUUACAGGCGUGAGCCACUGUGCCUGGCCAUUUUUAAACAACGCUAAGCGCAAUGGCUGCUCACAGUGAGAAAGGGACAAAAAUAUCCCUCACAAGGGCCGGGCGCGGUGGCUCAAAAAACGUAGGCAGAACGCUCAGACGUGCAGUCAAAGGCAGGUGCCCGGAUUGUCCUUUCCACCACCCAAAAACCUGGUUCCAUCCCCCAGGUGGCAGCUCUGACGCUGCAGAAACAAAAAGCUUCCGCGGGGGGGACGCCAGACACCAGCCCUUCCAGUGGGGGGCCCAGACCCCUAGACACCAGCCCUCCCAGGAAGCCGUGGCUUCCCCCUCAUCUCCACCCAGCCCCGAUCCACAGAUGGGAAACAGGACGGGGGAGAAGGAGGUGGCGGCCACCUGGAAAGGAGUCCAAUGCCCAGAGAUGCCCCCACCUGCCUCAGCGGUUCAGGGCAAGCUUCUGAGCCGGACGUGCUCAGGACUCACUGUCGAGUGCCCAGGGGGGCUCUACAGUCCCCGGGCAGCACUCCUGCUGGCUGCCCUCCCCUCGGGGCACUCCCUCGGUGUCACUCCUGCUGGCCGCUCCCCAUCCUGGGCCCUGCACUCACCGGCGU